CCUACGGGAGGCUGCAGUAGGGAAUAUUGCUCAAUGGGGGAAACCCUGAAGCAGCAACGCCGCGUGGAGGAUGAAGGUUUUCGGAUUGUAAACUCCUUUUGUUAGAGAAGAUAAUGACGGUAUCUAACGAAUAAGCACCGGCUAACUCCGUGCCAGCAGCCGCGGUAAUACGGAGGGGGCAAGCGUUAUUCGGAAUCACUGGGCGUAAAGAGCGCGUAGGCGGGGUAGCAAGUCAGAUGUGAAAUCCUAUGGCUUAACCAUAGGACUGCAUUUGAAACUGUUCUUCUAGAGUAUGGGAGAGGUAGGUGGAAUUCUUGGUGUAGGGGUGAAAUGCGUAGAGAGUAAGAGGAAUACUCAUUGCGAAGGCGACCUGCUAGAACAUAACUGACGCUGAUGCGCGAAAGCGUGGGGAGCAAACAGGAUUAGAUACCCCUGUAGUC
This 440-nucleotide ribosomal RNA is filed under the name uncultured bacterium. RNAcentral's name for it is "partial 16S ribosomal RNA". It matches the Rfam family "Bacterial small subunit ribosomal RNA", at positions 338 to 795 of the family's 1533-position model. The record is from RNAcentral.